ACGGGAGGCAGCAGUGGGGAAUAUUGCGCAAUGGGCGGAAGCCUGACGCAGCGACGCCGCGUGGGGGAUGACGGCCUUCGGGUUGUAAACCUCUUUCGACUUCGACGAAGCCUUCGGGUGACGGUAGGGGUGGAAGAAGCACCGGCCAACUACGUGCCAGCAGCCGCGGUAACACGUAGGGUGCGAGCGUUGUCCGGAAUUAUUGGGCGUAAAGAGCUCGUAGGCGGUGUGUCGCGUCGGCCGUGAAAACCUGCAGCUUAACUGUGGGCUUGCGGUCGAUACGGGCAUCACUGGAGUUCGGCAGGGGAGACUGGAAUUCCUGGUGUAGCGGUGAAAUGCGCAGAUAUCAGGAGGAACACCGGUGGCGAAGGCGGGUCUCUGGGCCGAUACUGACGCUGAGGAGCGAAAGCGUGGGGAGCGAACAGGAUUAGAUACCCUGGUA
Molecule: ribosomal RNA, 442 nt
Filed under: uncultured Pseudonocardia sp.
Lineage: Bacteria; Bacillati; Actinomycetota; Actinomycetes; Pseudonocardiales; Pseudonocardiaceae
Description: bacterial SSU rRNA
Rfam family: Bacterial small subunit ribosomal RNA
Source: RNAcentral